CUCAUGACAAGCCACUUCUGCUCACAAGUUCCUAAUCAAGAGUUGUACAGCAGGAAGGAAAGCAAAGGACACCAACUAAUGAGAAAGUCACUAGUGGCAUAGAAGCUGCAAGGCAGAAGACCUUUCCAACAUGUUAAGAGCCAAAAGAGUACCUUUUAGUGUUUGUUUUGAUUAUAUUUGCCUGUAACCCAGCAACUGGGCCCAGAUGCCAGGAGUCCAAAGAGAACACUGCUGAUGACCGGUGUAGGAAGAGAGGAAUCGCUUUUGUGUCCUUCCUCAAGAGGUUCUUCUCAAGAUUUUCCAGAAGCUGGAAAUGCUCCCGAAGAGCAACAAAUCUUUCUGCAGUGAUGUCAUUCAUGCUUCCUCCAAGAACUAAAAGCCUAGACACCAAAGUCACCAACCUCGGUCCAGGGCGUCAUGCAGUAGAGAAGAUGGAUAGACUGAGAGCAUGCGCAUUUGAUCUGUGCAUAAACAAAACCACAGAAGCUGAAGAGAAGAGAGAAUGUUUUAAGUCAAACAGGUUCCAAAGACCUGGGAGCAGCACACCACCAUGCCCAGAUUUAAGUUUACA
RNAcentral lists this long non-coding RNA (571 nucleotides) under Cricetulus griseus (Chinese hamster). RNAcentral's name for it is "lncRNA (ENSCGRG00015033359.1)". The record is from RNAcentral. Lineage: Eukaryota; Metazoa; Chordata; Mammalia; Rodentia; Cricetidae.